UGGUACAUAACAGGUCACCCAAAUUGUUUAACAUUUCCUGGAUAUCAGCAUACAUGGAAUCCAGGUUUGCAAGAAGUGCCUAAACAAAACCAACCAGAAUCACAUCAAAUGCACAGCCAACUCAUGUAAAAAGGAAUAGAUAGCUUGUAAGAAUUAAAUUUUAAGUGCUCUUGCAAUCUUGCACACACAGAAAAUGAUCCUACAUGAGAAGAUUAAGAAGCACGAACCUUCUAUUAAGAACAUCUUCAUCUGGUCCGCUAUGACUAUCAAGAUUGUUUCCAAUCUGAAUAAGAAAAUGACAAUAGUUAUUCGCAUUGCUAUUGAAAUUAGUCACUUAAUCUGAAAAGAACAUGUAGAAACACUCACAUGAUUGGCGAACCAAAGAACGAAUUCUCUAUGUACUUUUUUGUCUAGCUCAGAAGCAUUCCUUCCCCUCAUUUGUCUCUUUACAAUAGUUCUAUAUUGCCUACAUAGUUAAAUAUAUCAUGACAGAAGGGAGAGAUUGUAAAAAAGUGAAGAGAAGUGAAAGGCANNNNNNNNNNNNNNNNNNNNNNNNNNNNNNNNNNNNNNNNNNNNNNNNNGUGUCUGAAUGACAUUUGUAGCAGUGUUUGAUGAUCUAAAACAGACAACAAAACAAGCCUAAUUAAUACAUGAAUAAAACAGUCCCAAAAUUCCUGCAUAAAUCAAAAUCUCAAAUCCCCAAAAGUCAUUCUCUGGAAGCACAAGAGUAAUGUUGCAAAAGCUCCCUAAAUAUAAUAUCCAACUUAUUGCUGUAAGACAACUUACUUUUGAAAACCAAACCUAAUUGUAUUUUAGAAAGUAACCCAGUUGGAUAAUCAAAGCAAGGAGCAAGUAAAGGAAGUAAAAAUUAUAAACGGAAUAAUAAACACAAACACACAAUACUCAAGUAUGAUGGAAAAACAAAAGGACGUGGCUGAGUAGCAUAAAUCAAUUAGCAGCAGUAACUCUUAAUUUUUUCAACUCCUUGCAAAAACUAAGUCAUGCCAAUUGCCAAUUAUUCCAUAAAAACAUAACAGGAAAUGCCUACAAGAUAAGAAAGAAUCACAANNNNNNNNNNNNNNNNNNNNNNNNNNNNNNNNNNNNNNNNNNNNNNNNNNNUGCCAAAGAAUAGUAUCAGUUUUACUUAUGAUAUAUACUAAGCAUUAGACACAUUUUCUAAUUCUACCAAAUGCUAACUAAAGACAAACAAAAGGGUAUGCUCUAAGCUAAAGAAAAACAAAACUUCUAUACUCACAAUAAAUGGUGUCUGACAAUACAUCACGUUCAAUUUAAAUUUUCCACAUGCUAACUUAAGGGUUCAAGAAACCAACCAUAUUAUUUCAAACUUUACCUUCUCGCAUGACAAAUAGAAAAUUCCUUUGAUUAAAGCAACCAAUCCUUAGUGCCAUUGAGUUUGUAAUAUAUCCUGAAAGUUAUGAUAAUAAUCAUUACAUGUGAAUUGGUAAAAAGUCUUAAAACACAAGGGAACUAAGAAACCAUCCAACAACUUAUAGUUAGCAAACAAGCACAACAACUUUCAAGAACUAUCAAAUAAAGAGUAUGCAAUCCAACAAAAAUAUAUUAUAAACUUACAUAACCAUCAAAAGUGGUAAUUCAGAUUUAGAAUGCUUUCCUACAUGUUCCCAAUCUCUAUAUCCAAAACAUGUACAUACACGGGAGAGUUUCCAACAAUCAGAAUGGCAAAGAUAAAAUUAGGGAUUUCAGCUAUUUCAAAGACAAAUUUCCACGAGAGUAUGACUCUAUUUGACAAAAAUUAGCGGAUAUUGAAAAGUAGAUUAAAGUACCUUACCAAAAGCACCCCUUUAUACCUUAUUUCAUCUAUUUAACUAGAAUAAAUUAUCACUGAUGUUAAAUAAGUUACUGAUAACUAAAUGUGUGGAGAAAUCUACAAGCAUCAAGAACGUGGGAAACAAUUGUCUAAUCGCAAAUUCUGGACAGAACUACCAGAUUCCAAAUCGAAGCUUAGAAACCACAGUAUUACACAUCAUAGAAAAUUGAGAUUGAGAUAAACAUAGUUCGGAUCUACUUACUGAAGAAAUAGGGAUACAUAUUGAUUAAGACAUGAACGUGAUGAUGGCGGCAACAACGAAGAGAACUGUUGAAAAACCCUUGAAAACUCUGAAAGCAAACUGAAGCAAAACAAAAGGAAAAUUAGAAUCAGAAUCUAUUGAAGAAUGAGAAGACUAGAAUCGAAAGGAAAACCGAUUUAACCUUGAAAACUCUG
Molecule: long non-coding RNA, 2245 nt
Filed under: Trifolium pratense (red clover)
Lineage: Eukaryota; Viridiplantae; Streptophyta; Magnoliopsida; Fabales; Fabaceae
Description: long non-coding RNA (TPRA_LNC008501)
Source: RNAcentral